This 7978-nucleotide long non-coding RNA is filed under the name Setaria italica (foxtail millet). RNAcentral describes it as "long non-coding RNA (SITA_LNC002511)". The record is from RNAcentral. Lineage: Eukaryota; Viridiplantae; Streptophyta; Magnoliopsida; Poales; Poaceae.
GAUGCAAAAUAUGAGGGAUGCACCAGGUACACACAUCCGACGUAUCCCAUUUAUUUUAAAUCAUGAAACAUAUACAAGUACAGAACACCACCAGCCCUUCUCUUUCUCCUGACACAAUAAAUUGUACAUAGUUCAUACAAUACAUGGCACGGAACAAUACUUAAUUAACACACAAAUGAGAAAGCAGCAUCCAUGUUUGAACAUUUGGCUGAAGCGUACGGGGCCAUCCUGGAAUGACCUAGCUUCAAUAUUUAUGAGAGGAGCUGCAAUAUUAGGAUUUAGGUUUUACUUGUAGCAAAUCUUGUUCUUACAUCUGCAACCGAUGGCCUGAAUAAAGCACGGUAGCAUAAGACAAGUUUCCCCACACGAGAUACCACCCUGCCAAGCAAAUUCCCUUGCACUCCUGUUUAAGCUCAGGACGGAGGUGGUAUCCUGCAGCGAGCGGGCCAUGGCCAUCGGAGCUGCCAUGAGCUGAUGCAGCACCACCAUCAUGGCCACCAAUGCCACGACACCGGUAGCCCUCUUGCCACUCUCCAUGCCCACCCUCUCUUUGUGACUAUUUGUUCUCUGAUGGCUUUCUUUUGCUUGGUUUCCUCGGCUCCCAAGGAUGUUUCUCCCUUUUGUAGGCAGCAGCUUCUCACAAACACAUCUAAACAUGCCUGUCAUUUUCCCAUGCGUCUCGUGAGUUGGCAUGAUGAGGACAUAAGUUCAAGAAUUGCUUUUCAAUAACAUUUUGGGUGUAACUUGCUUUAUUGCUACAGCUACAAGUAGUGACCUGUCACACAUGGUUUUAAAAUAAAAUCAAGUGGUACCUAUAUGUAUGCUAGGAUCAAGUUCAUACAUAUAGUGACAUCAUCAGUGAAUAAUAGUAACCGUAUCACGUAAAAGAAUAAGAGAGCAUAUCAAAGAUUUACGCAUAAUCCUAGAAAUGAAGGCUCCAAACUUCACAGGCAAUCGACUGGGAGUUGUGUACGUCUAGAACUUAGCACCAUCUUCACAACAACUUCAUAACAGCUUCUUCUUCUGAGUAACGUUGGUUAUAGCAAGGGUGAGCACAUGUCAUACUCAACAAGUGUGGUGGAAAUAUUAAUGCAAGGCUUAAACAAGGAUAGGCUGACUGGUUGAUAGCAUUAAGCAUAUGGCACAACCAUAACCAUGAUUUAAGUCCAUCUUCAAGUAUAUUAAUCAUGUGAGGGUUCAGGCCACUCUUGACUGUGAGCACGACUAAUCAAUUAGUUUUACACUCUGUAGAGAUUGCACAUCUUUACGCACAAGUCGCGCAAAAGCUCAAAAAAACUUUAAACCCAACCAUGCUGUGCGGGCCAGGCACAAUACCACACUUCCGAGGUGUGAUUGCAUAGAGACGCUACGAGGCCUCUACAAAGAUUCGCUAUGGUUUAUGCUUCGUAGCUAGAGAAAUUUAUGAUUUUUUAGAAUGAGGAGAAAUGAGAGUUUUUUAUUUAUACAUGCAUGGAGAAUGGAGAUUUUUUACCUAUUAAGUUAGAUGAAAAUUAGAGUUCAAAUAAAUAUAAUUUUUUCCUUGAAAAACAAUAAAUUAAUACUAUAUUUGAUGCUCUAAUAAUUUUAUUUUGGAGUUGUCUUAUACAUGGUCUAAUAAUUUUAUUUUGGAGUUGUUUUAAUACUAUAUGUGAUCCAUGUGAAGCAAGAGAGAGUGUACUAAUUCAUGCUCUAGUUUAUAUUGAUGAACUUCUAUGCUUUAGGAUUGGAGACUUAAACUAUGUUGAAUAUCUAAGGAGAUGAAGUGGAGUAUGAAAUAUGUAGCAUGCAUGGAUGUGCCCCUACCCUUUUUCAUAUGGAUUUGAACUUGUUCUCUCUAAGACCUUUAGUAUUGAUGUACGAACUUGUGAGAUUGAUUAUAUUUAUUUUAUUGCAUAUAUAAUGUUCUCUGAUAGUUGUGAGAGUUGGAUUUGAAUGGGUUGAUAUAUUAACGUAAUAUUAUUAGUAUAUGCAAGCGGAUAUGAAUACUAAUUAAAACAAAAGGAAAACAAAAGGGUAAAAAAAAGAAAAGGAAUAAAAUUUUAGUGCCGGUUAAUAAAACCAACCGGUACUAAACUGCCGACCCCAACAGCGCGACGUGGCACGCAGUUCAGUACCCGAUGGUGUUACCAACCGGUACUAAAUUGCGCAUUUAGUGCCGGUUGGGCUGCUAGGUACUAAAUGCCACCUGAACUAGCGAUAGCGGUCGGGCACCAGUACUGAAGGAUGGUUCCCGACCGGUACUAGAAGUCAAUUGUCCAGCUGUGAAACCAUGGACUAGCAUUGUGCAGGAGUGAUCAUCCACAUGAUAAUUUGCAAUAGGCUGCGUCCCCUCUGGAUGAUAUGGAUGCCGACUAAUAUCAUAAGCAGCUGCUAGCAUUGGAGUAACAAUUUCUUUAUGUGCAGCCGGAGGUUGACAACAUGGGCAGUGGGGUCACAUUUUGUUGGAUCACUCUUUCUUUCAUAAGGUGAACCUUGUUCAUCUUCAAUUGGCUCUUCUGACAGGCCCAGCAAGGGAAAGAGGUGGAGAAGUAGCCUUCUUCUUUGAUGCAUAUUUCUAAAACAGAGAUGCAAUGUCUCCAUUCCUCUUCAUGUUUCAACAUAUCUGCAAGAGAAUUGUGCCAUGUUUCAAUUUGCGAAUCCAACUUCGCAUUUGAAUCCUAAAAUUGAACUGUACAUAAACCAAUUAUUCAUAUUCAAGUAGACGGGCGAAGCAAUCGAUGAAUGAAACAACAGGCGGAGGAAAUAGGUGCCAGCCAAAAUCGUAAGGGGUAAUGGGCCUUGGGCCAGAAAUUCCAAGGUUGUCCCAAGCCCACAUGGACCACCGUGUAGCUCCGCCCCUAAUUACAUGCCUUGCUGGUCCUAGAAUCAUGGAGUCCUAUCUAGAUAUGUUAACGGGAACAAACCUGCUUGGUUUUACCAUCCCAAACCUAUGCCCACGUAGAAUAUCUAAACCCGUUGAAAAACCCAUGCUCGUGACAUGUUGAGAAUUAUGCCUAAACCCGUGCCCAUCGGGUUAGCGGGACUAGGUACCCAUGGGCCGCCUAUGGGUUGCGCCUCUGCUAUGCUUGUUCUUCUCAUAAUUGACAAGUUUCAUGAUGAGCAAUGAGUUCAUAGUCCAUAUAUUUAUAUGAUGAGCAACAAGUUCAUAGUUCUCUAUAAAAAGUACUAGUAGAGAGAAUAAAACUACAAAUAACAAGACCACAGUACACACACAAGUCACCAAUCCACCACAUACAUAACAUAAGCACUAUAAUAGCAAGCUAGCAACACCCUCACCCACCACCAACACAUUCACCAUUUGGAAAAUGAUGAAGUAAAGGGGGACCGACAUCAAUUUUAUAAUACGUUCAUAAAAUAAACUGACAAUAUGCAUUGGACCGGGUUUAAAAAGCCCAGGGGUUCACGGGUUGGGUACUAUAGGAACAAAGCCAUGCCCGUAAACCCAAAUGGUAGAGAUUUGUGCCAUUAACAAACCUAUGGGUAAGAAAAUUAACCCACACCUGUGUCCUAAUAGGGUAAAAACCCAUCGUGUUUUGGGUACUCAUUGCAAUCUCUAGUCCUGUAGCUGCUUUCCAAUAACCUUUAGCCAGGCAGUAUGGCUGCAGUCAUCCGAGCAUCCAGAAGACCGGCACAGACGCAGUCAUGUUUGUACACCGUGAAAUCGCAGAAUAUGCUAGUCGCUGGAGCUAGGAUCACCCUUUCGUUAAGUUUGCUCAACCAGUAAACCCUCGAUGAGAUGACUGAGUUGAUCACAGGAUACCUUUUUGCCAGAUCAAAGAAUGACAUUGUGUCACCGCGUUCAUAAAAAUGAUUAGAUGAAGACUUUUCUUUCCAACCUUGGGUGAGCUUGAUAUAUUCAAGAGCUUUGGCCCUCGACUGUCCUACUAUAUAUACAACGGAAUGCCAAGAUAUCGAUAAUUUCUGUACAUCUGUUGGCACACCAUGGCAGUUUAGGACCGUCUGCUACUUUUGAUGUCUUCAUAUCUUGUGGUGUUUUUGCUGAAAGUCACAGUAGCUUGAACGAGAGGAAAAAAACGAGUUUCCUUUUGCCUGAUUGUUUUGGUAGGAUUGUUUCUUCCUAAAAUAAAGCACCGAGGCGUGCACAGUACAUGUACUAUUGGUCAGUAGUCCUAGCAAUGAAUGAUUUAGGGGGUGUUUGGAUACACCCUUCUAAACUUUAGUAACUGUCACAUCAGAUGUUUGGAUACUAAUUAGGAGUAUUAAAUAUAGUCUAAUUACAAAACUAAUUACACAGAUGGAGUCUAAUUCGCGAGACGAAUCUAUUAAGCCUAAUUAGUCCAUGAUUUGACAAUGUGGUGCUACAGUAACCAUUUGCUAAUGAUGGAUUAAUUAGGCUUAAUAGAUUCGUCUCGCGAAUUAGUAUAGAGGUUAUGUAGUUAGUUUUAUAAUUAGCUCAUGUUUAGUCCUCCUAAUUAGCGUCCGAACAUCCGAUGUGACCCUCCUAAACUUUAGCACCUCGUAUCCAAACACCCCCUUAACCAGAUGGCGCAGCUGUGGUGUCUAGUUGUGCUCUUCUAGCGGGGAGACUGCAGAUAUUGCCAUCACAAGAUGCCGUUAGACAUCACAUGUGCUGACCUUGUGGCAACCAUCCAUGCGCAAAUAGUAAUUGAGAGAGGACAUCAAAGCAUGAAGAUGAGAGUGGCAGUGGUGUGGUCGAAUUAAUUGUUGGUGGCCAGAUGCUGGCUCUAAAGCCAAUUAAUGGCAGCUCCCAUGACCAUGGCCCGCUCAUGGCUCACUCCCGGACAGCACCCCGUCUUGGCGUUAAGCACGAUUGCAAGGGAAUUCUCGUGUACCUAACUACAUUAAAAAUGGCAAUUGUUAAUUGACCUACUGAAUAAUUAGUAACAUAGGGAAGUCCCCCACGCAACACAGGAAGUAGGCUCUUUCUGGUGGAAGGAUAUCCUCAGACUAAACACUUGUUUCAGAGGAGUUGCAAGAUGUGUUCUAGGAGAUGGUUCUACAGUGAUGUUUUGGGAAGACCUUUGGAGUCAUCAGGUUCUAGCAGAUUCGUUCCCACGACUAUUCUCGUUCGCCUUGAACACGCAGAAGAAGCAUAUCCAGAGUUCUUGGCCCUGCAACAAUUCCUUGAAACCAUCCCCUAUGAUGGUCAUUCGAGAGAUCAGUGGAUAUACAUCUAGGGUAACAACACGUACACAUCAAAACGAUUCUACAAUUUUGUCUACACUAGCAUCCAGGCUCCUAUCACCUUUAGUUGGCUAUGGAAGUCCAAGUGCAUGCCACGGUUAAAGUUUUUUGCCUCGUUGCUCCUAGUUGAUCGACUGAAUAUAAGAGGCAUACUUAGAAGACGACAUUAUAAUGUUCAGCAGGAGUUGGCUGCUGUUUUGCUUCUAGUUCUUUGCUUUUUGAGUGUCCCUUUGCUCAAACCUGCUGGUCCAAAAUUCAGAUUACUUGGACAGACCAGAACAUUCACGACAAAAUUAUUUCAGCCAGACAAUUUCAAGACAACCGCCUCUUCAUGGAUAUAUUCAUCAUUGUAGCUUGGGAAUUAUGGAAAAUGAGGAACGCCAUCAUCUUUGAUGCAACGAGACCAAACCUUAGACUCUGGGUCGUGAGAUUCAGAGAACAAGUAGCCCUCCAAUUGCAUAGGCUUAGGGAGGAUCGCCGAGCUAUUUCUAUUCAAUGGCUAGAGUCUGUGUUGUAACCUAAUCACCCCCUCCCUCCUCCUCCUUUCUCUUUCUCACCCUCCUUUGUAAGUAUCUCCUGUACUUUUGCCUCCCUUAUUUUUUUGAAAAUGAAGUGCGGUGGGUAACUCCCCCACGGCUUUUGCUAAAAAAAAAACAUGUUUUAAUAUGAGGUCUUCGGAACAUUACUUGCAAUGGUUCCCCCACGGUGUAGUCUAUAUUUAUUAUGUGUCUCAUCAACUCCUUCAAAUUUUCUUGAAUUUCAUCAUGGUUAAUAAUUUUUAAACUGAAAAUAUAAUAAUCCCAAAAAUGCUAUCAUAGCGAACAACUAUUAUGACUGCUGCUCAAUGAAGAUCAUUUCAAGACUUAAUUAUUGUUCGUCACUAUCGAGCAAGGUUGCAUUUUAUAGUCUGCUUACCCUCUUCUAAAUUUUUCACAGAUCCUUUCUUGGUCUAAUUUCACAUAACCUUUUUCUCACCAUAGCAAAUUGCUCAACUACAUCAGCAAGUUGCUCAACUACCUCUCUGCUCCAGCAUCCGAAUCCCAAGCGCUCGCGUCCCACCAGCCCAUCCUGUCUAGGAGUGAAGGAGGCCAUGGUGGCACGCGUUCCACGAUGUAGGAACAUCUCGGCAUUGGACACAACAGUGAGGUCUUAGUCAUGCUCGAGCUGUGGGGAGCAGCAGUUAUCCGCCCUGGGCCCCGUACUGAUGGAGAAGGAGGAUGGGGAGGGGGAGGGAAGAGCGGGGCUGAGGAGGGGUCAUGGACGGCAGCAGCGAGACAGCUAGGGCAACAAUGGUGUUCGGGGCCCGGCCGAGGAACUCCUAGGCCAGGCUGACGAGGGGGCGUGGAGGUUGGGAUGUGGGAUGCCGCUGCUGCCUAGAAUGGCCAUGCCACACCUUGCCCAACCCUUAGCUGGAACACCGGGACGCUGUACAAGCGAUUUUCACAUAAUCAUGCAAUCCUGAAAAUCUACUGGCAGGAUAAGCUGUGAGUUUGUCAACCUUAUUUUCGAUGAGCAGAUUAUCUUUACUAAGUGUACAAUGACGUGUAUGCUUUGAAGUUGUUAAAAUCUGAUUUGAGUACACUAAAUUUUGACAUUAUAUGAGCGAUAUUUUAAUGAAGAAAUAAUAUGGCAUUAAUUUGCCUAUCUCAGCAUGCACACACACAUUGCGCACCACUAAUGCACCGAGCUGAAUCAAGAUUCAGCAAUGAGUCAGUAUCCAUCCCUACUAUGAUUCAGCACCGAACUGAAUGAUGAAAUGGUGCACGGCGAGAAAAAUCCAACCCGACGCUGCGCUGCCUUAUGCCCAUCAUAUCAACCCUCCUUCUAAUUAAGGUUGCAGAUUGAACAAGCUUCGCUGGAGAUGACUUAAUUGGGUCAGGCAUGUCGACACUAAAACUCAGUCACUUUUGACGACGUUCCAAAUUAAAGGAACAUGGAAACGUACGAAGAAGAAAUUCCAAAUUAACAUGAAUCUUUAUAUUUUCUUUAAGGCAUUUGGGACUGAUACUCGGAACUCCGUCUGGUCGAUCGUAGUAUCAAAUUAGAAGCUUGGGAUGAUAUAGCACAAUUGGAACAGCUGCCAAAGUGAUGCAAAAUAUGAGGGAUGCAGCAGGUACACACAUCCAACGUAUCCCAUUUAUUUUAAAUCAUGAAACAUAUACAAGUACAGAACACCACCGGCCCUUCUCUUUCUCCUGACACAAUAAAUUGUACAUAGUUCAUACAAUACAUGGCACGGAACAAUACUUAAUUAACACACAAAUGAGAAAGCAGCAUCCAUGUUUCAACAUUUGGCUGAAGCGUACGGGGCAUCCUGGAAUGACCUAGCUUCAAUAUUUAUGAGAGGAGCAGCAAUAUCAGGAUUUAGGUUUUACUUGUAGCAAACUCUGUCCUGACAGCUGCAACCGAUGGCAGCAGUAACGCACGGUAUCAAGAAACAACUUUCCCCACACGGGAUACCACCCUGCGAAGCAAAUUCCCUUGCAAUCCUGUUUAAGCUCAGGACGGGGGUGCUAUCCUGCACCGAGCGGGCCAUGGCCAUCGGAGCUGCCAUGAGCUGCAGAACCACCAUCAUGGCCACCAAUACCACGACACCGGUAGCCCUCUUGCCACUCUCCAUGCCCACCCUCUCUGUGUGACUAUUUGUGCUCUGAUGGCUUUCUGUUGCUUGGUUUGCUCGGCUCCCAAGGAUGUUUCUCCUUUUUGUAGGCAGCAGCUUCUGACGACAAACACAUCUAAACAAGCCUGUCACUUUCCCAUGCGUCGCGUGAGUUGGCAUUAUGAGGACAUUACUUCAAAAAUUGCUUUCAAU